UCAUCUUCGUCUCUUCAUUUUCUCUCAAGAACACUUCAUUUCUCUCAAGGUUAAUUCUCCAUAAGUUGGUUCUUCAUCUUCUGGUAAGUUUUUCCUUACUAAUCUAGUGACUCUACACAUCAAAAUACUAGUUUUGUUACAAUUACACACAUUAAUAUGUGUUAAUAUCCGUAGGGCAAUUCUGUCUUCAAUCAUCCUCAAGUGUUCUAAGCUUGAACACCUUCAACUUCACCUCUUUAUCCACUAAGAAAUCCAAUCAAGGUGAGUUCAUACCACUUCAUUUUUGUUUUAUCCAAGUUUAGGGGGGGGGGGGGAAUACAAGUAAACUUGUGUAAUAACACUAGUUGUUAUGCAUGCUUAGUCUUCAAGUUGUGUAAAAGCAUUACUUACAUGAAAUAAUGUUAUUACCUAGUAUUAUGAAUAUUUAUGUGUAGUAUGUUGUUUAAAAUGCAAAAAUCUAUGAAUAAUGAGUAUAAACAUGCUAUAUGUUCUUGAGAAAAAGUCACAAAAAUAAAACAAUAAAAACUAUGGUUUUAUGAAGAUAAUAUGACUUUUCUAGCAAAAAUGGUUUUAACCAAGCUACUAUAUUAUUUUUGUGGGAUAUAAAUCAAAAUAUGUUAUUUUGAACAUGUGUUAGGAAACUAGUUAAAAAUACCAAGUAUUUGGUUUUACAAAAAGAAGACCUUAAAAACCCACCAUUUUUAUGUAAAAGAAGGGUUUUUUCUACCAAAAAUGGUCAUGACUAGGUUAUGGUACCAUUUUUGUAAGAUUUGACUUAAAAUAUGUUAUUUUAAACAUAUAAUGUUAGUUUGACUAAAUAUCCACAAAAAUGUACAAAUAAAUUUUACAAUUUUACCAGUUAGUGACGUUAAAAAGCAAAAAACUAGAAAAUUGGUUUUAUCAUACUAAAUGUUCUUAUAUUUGUGUUAGAUGUAAAUUAUAUGAUAUAAUCUUUUAAAACAUCUAAACAUGUUGAUAUAUAUAUAUAUAUAUAUAUAUAUAUAUAUAUAUAUAUAGACACACAAANGGUGUAGUUUAUGGGUCAUUAACACUAUUUUACCAUUUUAGGCGAACAAAUAAUUAUUUAAAGGUAUAAUUAUUUUACAUUAUGUAAUUACUAUGGAAAGGUAAUAUUUCCACUUACAAAAGGGUUUUCAUUAAACUAUAUGUAAACAUGUUGAUAUAAUUUUGUGAGACAUAGUCUUCACCGUACCUACCAGAGUACACAUUAAAGUCCUGAAUUACAACCGGAAUCUCGGUAAGAGAGCGUGACGCUUGUAUAUAGAUCUAUAUGGGACUGACAAUCACGCACCAAAGUUGUUAGCUACAGCUAGACCGGCAGGUCUAGGUGACAAUUGUCUAACAUUCCGACGCCUGAAGAUCGUCGCAGCAGGCCAACUACGGUUUUAGCAUGGUUGUAAUAACUCACAUGGGGUAUUAACACUACAUUUGGUUUACGGAGCUAACAUACAUUCAUAUGGUUUUAUAUAAAAAUAAAACUGCAUAAUACUACUUUCAAGUACUGCAAUUACUUAUUCCUUUUUGUCUUAAGGUUUUUAAGACUACAACUCAUUUUUAAGAAAAUAUUGGAUUUUCUUGAAACAUACACUAUCAUUUUACAAGGAAAAGUUACAGAUUUUUCGCAUACAAAACUCUUAUGAACUCACCAACUUAAUUGUUGACACUUUUUCAAUCUAUUUGUAUUCUCAGGGAAUCGUUAACAAAGGUAAUUACAAAGUUGUGAGGAUGGAUGUUACAACAUUACACUGUUUAUUUUUUGUCGUAAUGUAAUUUGUAUUGAAACAAACAACAUUUGGAUACAAUGUAAUAUUCCUAAUUAUAAUUAUGAUGGUUGUAUUACUUUGAUCACUAUUAUUUGUUAUGUUGUGAUAUUGUUCAUGAAAUUCAUCCACCCCCAGACGUUUCCGCCAUCCUGGUUUGGGAGUAUGACAGUAUAAAUACAACCCUCGUCAUCAGUUGUAAGGGUCGGACGAUUCCAGAAGAAGAAAACCACUUCUGAAGGUGAUUUUUGAAUUCGUUCAGUGACUUUUGAAGAUCUG
This 2060-nucleotide long non-coding RNA is filed under the name Lactuca sativa (garden lettuce). Its description in RNAcentral is "long non-coding RNA (LSAT_LNC008562)". The record is from RNAcentral. Lineage: Eukaryota; Viridiplantae; Streptophyta; Magnoliopsida; Asterales; Asteraceae.